This 666-nucleotide long non-coding RNA is filed under the name Lepidothrix coronata (blue-crowned manakin). RNAcentral's name for it is "lncRNA (ENSLCOG00000004795.1)". The record is from RNAcentral. Lineage: Eukaryota; Metazoa; Chordata; Aves; Passeriformes; Pipridae.
GGGCUGGGCGCGCUCGGCGGUGGAUUGGCGCUGCCUGCCCGGCGGCCCGGAAGGCGCUGGGCUCGAACCGGGGCCGCGGCGGCUCCGCGGAGUUGAAGAUGGGCCGCCGCUCCUCGGACACGGAGGAGGAGAGCAGGAGCAGGAGGAAGAAGAAGCACCGCAGACGUUCCUCCUCCAGCAGCUCCUCGGACAGCAGGACCUACAGCCGGAAGAAAUCGGGAAGGAAAUCCAGGUCCAGGUCGCGCUCCCGGGAUCUCCAGUCCUGGUCCCACUACGAGAAAAGGCGCAGGCACAGAUCCAGCAGCAGCUCUUCCUACGGCUCCAGGAGGAAGCGCAGCCGGAGCCGAUCCAGGGGCAGAGGCAAAUCCUACAGGUCCCAAAGGUCCAGGUCAAAAAGUAGAACCAGAAGGUCCAGGUCCCGAGGCCGGCAGCGUUCCUACAGCCGGAGCAGCGAGAGGUCCGGCCACAGGAGGACCCACAGCGGCUCCCGGGAGAGGGAGCGGCGCAAGGGCAGGGACAAGGACAAGGACAAAGCCAAGGACAAGGGCAAAGGGAAAGACAAGGAGAUCCACGGCACCAAGGCCGGGUAAGUGAAGUGACAAGUGGUUGAAUGGUAACGAGAACCAGGCGACGGGUUGGUGUCGUUUUACCCCGGAAUGAUUUUCC